AGAGUUUGAUCMUGGCUCAGAACGAACGCUGGCGGCGUGCUUAACACAUGCAAAGUCGAACGCGAAAAGUUUUCUUCGGAAGACGAGUAGAGUGGCGCACGGGUGAGUAACGCGUAAGUAAUCUACCCCGGCAUCUGGAAUAACUCACCGAAAGGUGUGCUAAUACCGGAUACGUUGGUAACAAGAAAGGUGGCCUCUGCAUAUGCUACCGUGCUGGGAUGAGCUUGCGUACCAUUAGCUAGUUGGUAGGGUAAAGGCCUACCAAGGCGACGAUGGUUAGCGGGUCUGAGAGGAUGAUCCGCCACACUGGAACUGGAACACGGACCAGACUCCUACGGGAGGCAGCAGUGAGGAAUAUUGCGCAAUGGGGGCAACCCUGACGCAGCGACGCCGCGUGGAUGAUGAAGGCCUUCGGGUCGUAAAAUCCUGUCAGAUGGAAAGAAGUGCAUAGUGGGUUAAUACCGCUAUGUUUGACGGUACCAUCGAAGGAAGCACCGGCUAACUCCGUGCCAGCMGCCGCGGUAAUA
Molecule: ribosomal RNA, 527 nt
Filed under: bacterium enrichment culture clone Cont4_3130
Lineage: Bacteria
Description: bacterial SSU rRNA
Rfam family: Bacterial small subunit ribosomal RNA
Source: RNAcentral